Molecule: ribosomal RNA, 1024 nt
Filed under: Mycobacterium sp. IP20010516
Lineage: Bacteria; Bacillati; Actinomycetota; Actinomycetes; Mycobacteriales; Mycobacteriaceae
Description: bacterial SSU rRNA
Rfam family: Bacterial small subunit ribosomal RNA
Source: RNAcentral
GAGAGUUUGAUCCUGGCUCAGGACGAACGCUGGCGGCGUGCUUAACACAUGCAAGUCGAACGGAAAGGCCCUUCGGGGUACUCGAGUGGCGAACGGGUGAGUAACACGUGGGUAAUCUGCCCUGCACUUUGGGAUAAGCCUGGGAAACUGGGUCUAAUACCGAAUAUGACCACGGGAGGCAUGUCCUGUGGUGGAAAGCUUUUGCGGUGUGGGAUGGGCCCGCGGCCUAUCAGCUUGUUGGUGGGGUGAUGGCCUACCAAGGCGACGACGGGUAGCCGGCCUGAGAGGGUGUCCGGCCACACUGGGACUGAGAUACGGCCCAGACUCCUACGGGAGGCAGCAGUGGGGAAUAUUGCACAAUGGGCGCAAGCCUGAUGCAGCGACGCCGCGUGGGGGAUGACGGCCUUCGGGUUGUAAACCUCUUUCACCAUUGACGAAGGUCCGGGUUUUCUCGGAUUGACGGUAGGUGGAGAAGAAGCACCGGCCAACUACGUGCCAGCAGCCGCGGUAAUACGUAGGGUGCGAGCGUUGUCCGGAAUUACUGGGCGUAAAGAGCUCGUAGGUGGUUUGUCGCGUUGUUCGUGAAAUCUCACGGCUUAACUGUGAGCGUGCGGGCGAUACGGGCAGACUGGAGUACUGCAGGGGAGACUGGAAUUCCUGGUGUAGCGGUGGAAUGCGCAGAUAUCAGGAGGAACACCGGUGGCGAAGGCGGGUCUCUGGGCAGUAACUGACGCUGAGGAGCGAAAGCGUGGGGAGCGAACAGGAUUAGAUACCCUGGUAGUCCACGCCGUAAACGGUGGGUACUAGGUGUGGGUUUCCUUCCUUGGGAUCCGUGCCGUAGCUAACGCAUUAAGUACCCCGCCUGGGGAGUACGGCCGCAAGGCUAAAACUCAAAGAAAUUGACGGGGGCCCGCACAAGCGGCGGAGCAUGUGGAUUAAUUCGAUGCAACGCGAAGAACCUUACCUGGGUUUGACAUGCACAGGACGCCGGCAGAGAUGUCGGUUCCCUUGUGGCCUGUGUGCA